AGCGAACGCUGGCGGCAGGCUUAACACAUGCAAGUCGAGCGGGCCCUUCGGGGUCAGCGGCAGACGGGUGAGUAACGCGUGGGAACGUGCCCUUCGGUUCGGAAUAACCCUGGGAAACUAGGGCUAAUACCGGAUACGCCCUUAUGGGGAAAGGUUUACCGCCGAAGGAUCGGCCCGCGUCUGAUUAGCUUGUUGGUGAGGUAACGGCUCACCAAGGCGACGAUCAGUAGCUGGUCUGAGAGGAUGAUCAGCCACACUGGGACUGAGACACGGCCCAGACUCCUACGGGAGGCAGCAGUGGGGAAUAUUGGACAAUGGGGGCAACCCUGAUCCAGCCAUGCCGCGUGAGUGAUGACGGCCUUAGGGUUGUAAAGCUCUUUUACCCGGGACGAUAAUGACGGUACCGGGUGAAUAAGCCCCGGCUAACUUCGUGCCAGCCGCCGCCGUAA
Molecule: ribosomal RNA, 449 nt
Filed under: uncultured bacterium
Lineage: Bacteria
Description: partial 16S ribosomal RNA
Rfam family: Bacterial small subunit ribosomal RNA
Source: RNAcentral